This is a non-coding RNA of Hypoxylon fragiforme, 97 nucleotides long. Lineage: Eukaryota; Fungi; Ascomycota; Sordariomycetes; Xylariales; Hypoxylaceae. The record is from the annotation of a RefSeq genome assembly.
GGUGGUAUAGUAUAGUGGAAAGUACGACACGUUGUGGAUAUACAGAAAUUAUUAUACUAGUACCGUGUAGACCUGGGUUCGAUUCCCAGUACCGCCA